CCUACGGGAGGCAGCAGUGAGGAAUAUUGGUCAAUGGGCGCAAGCCUGAACCAGCCAUGCCGCGUGCAGGAAGAAUGCCCUCUGGGUUGUAAACUGCUUUUAUUUGGGAAUAAACCUUUUUACGUGUAGAAAGCUGAAGGUACCAAAUGAAUAAGCACCGGCUAACUCCGUGCCAGCAGCCGCGGUAAUACGGAGGGUGCAAGCGUUAUCCGGAAUCAUUGGGUUUAAAGGGUCCGCAGGCGGAUUUAUAAGUCAGUGGUGAAAUCUCUCGGCUUAACCGAGAAACUGCCAUUGAUACUGUAAGUCUUGAAUUCGGUCGAAGUGGGCGGAAUGUGUAGUGUAGCGGUGAAAUGCAUAGAUAUUACACAGAACACCGAUAGCGAAGGCAGCUCACUAGGCCUGGAUUGACGCUCAGGGACGAAAGCGUGGGGAUCAAACAGGAUUAGAUACCCUGGCAGUCCACGCUGUAAACGAUGAUUACUCGUUUUCGGCGAUAUACAGUCGGAGACUAAGCGAAAGUGAUAAGUAAUCCACCUGGGAGUAACGAGUCGCGAGGUUGAAACGUUCAAAGGAAUUGACGG
RNAcentral lists this ribosomal RNA (581 nucleotides) under uncultured bacterium. RNAcentral's name for it is "bacterial SSU rRNA". It matches the Rfam family "Bacterial small subunit ribosomal RNA", at positions 338 to 916 of the family's 1533-position model. The record is from RNAcentral.